RNAcentral lists this unclassified non-coding RNA (968 nucleotides) under Zea mays. Its description in RNAcentral is "misc RNA Zm00001eb384460". Lineage: Eukaryota; Viridiplantae; Streptophyta; Magnoliopsida; Poales; Poaceae. The record is from RNAcentral.
CUAAAGAAGAAUCUGAUAAUUCUUUAAAGAAUGUUUUCUAUAAGUAUUGCGAAAUCACUAAUUUUAAAAAACCUAUGACGCCCAAAAACCAGCAUAAAGUAGCUCGCUAUAAUUGCUAUAUAACAAAAGAAAAUCAAGUGAUAAAGAACAAAACGAAAUUCAUAGUGGCCGAUCUAGAAACGAUUCCCUAUAAAUUAGGAGAAAACGACGAAUACAAUACACACGUCCCCUACGCAGGGGGGUAUAUGACGAUUGAUACGGAUAAGGGAUUAGAUGAAAAUAAAAUUAUAAUGUUCUAUGCUGAUGACUACAAAAUACUAUACGAAGAUUUUAAGUCAAUGAGUACAAAGAUGCUCACAGUUAUGAUGAACAGGUUGAUCAAAGAAGCCAGAUCAGCAAGAACAUGUUUGGUAGUAUACUUUCAUAAUUUAGGUCAGUUCGAUGGUCUUUUUAUACUAAGGCAUUUAACAAUGGAACACAGGGGUUUGGUAGUAGAACCCUUGGUUCGAAACCGUAUUAUUUACAAGAUAAGUGUCUAUACAGUAUCCCCCAAGGGCAGGCGAAAGAACAUAUUGUCGUUCCAAGACUCAUACCACCUUUUUAAAGGUAAAUUAGAAGAACUAGCCCGUUGUUUUUGUCCUAAACUAAACGGUAAGGGUGUUAUCAACCACGACAGUGUUUCGCUCGACAAUCUGGGGAUAUAUAAGGACGAUUACUUAUCUUACCUAAAACAAGAUAUUAUGCUACUAGGCGCUGUUAUGCUCGAAGCAAAAGCUAUCUAUUAUGAUUUGUAUCAGGUCGACAUACUUAAUCGAUUAACAAUAUCUUCACUGGCCCUCUCCAUCUUUAGGCGUAAAUACAUAAACGAUAGUGAAAAGAAUAGGAUCUACAUCCUAAACGACAAUGAAGAACAAUUCAUUAGGAGUGGAUACUACGGCGGUCAUACAGAUGUAUAUCUACCUACGGGG